RNAcentral lists this ribosomal RNA (870 nucleotides) under Salmonella enterica. RNAcentral's name for it is "partial 23S ribosomal RNA". It matches the Rfam family "Bacterial large subunit ribosomal RNA", at positions 2061 to 2925 of the family's 2925-position model. The record is from RNAcentral. RNAcentral also lists the same sequence under 2 other names. Lineage: Bacteria; Pseudomonadati; Pseudomonadota; Gammaproteobacteria; Enterobacterales; Enterobacteriaceae.
GCAGUGUACCCGCGGCAAGACGGAAAGACCCCGUGAACCUUUACUAUAGCUUGACACUGAACAUUGAGCCUUGAUGUGUAGGAUAGGUGGGAGGCUUUGAAGUGUGGACGCCAGUCUGCAUGGAGCCGGCCUUGAAAUACCACCCUUUAAUGUUUGAUGUUCUAACGUGGACCCGUGAUCCGGGUUGCGGACAGUGUCUGGUGGGUAGUUUGACUGGGGCGGUCUCCUCCUAAAGAGUAACGGAGGAGCACGAAGGUUGGCUAAUCCUGGUCGGACAUCAGGAGGUUAGUGCAAUGGCAUAAGCCAGCUUGACUGCGAGCGUGACGGCGCGAGCAGGUGCGAAAGCAGGUCAUAGUGAUCCGGUGGUUCUGAAUGGAAGGGCCAUCGCUCAACGGAUAAAAGGUACUCCGGGGAUAACAGGCUGAUACCGCCCAAGAGUUCAUAUCGACGGCGGUGUUUGGCACCUCGAUGUCGGCUCAUCACAUCCUGGGGCUGAAGUAGGUCCCAAGGGUAUGGCUGUUCGCCAUUUAAAGUGGUACGCGAGCUGGGUUUAGAACGUCGUGAGACAGUUCGGUCCCUAUCUGCCGUGGGCGCUGGAGAACUGAGGGGGGCUGCUCCUAGUACGAGAGGACCGGAGUGGACGCAUCACUGGUGUUCGGGUUGUCAUGCCAAUGGCACUGCCCGGUAGCUAAAUGCGGAAGAGAUAAGUGCUGAAAGCAUCUAAGCACGAAACUUGCCCCGAGAUGAGUUCUCCCUGAGACUUUAGGUCUCCUGAAGGAACGUUGAAGACGACGACGUUGAUAGGCCGGGUGUGUAAGCGCAGCGAUGCGUUGAGCUAACCGGUACUAAUGAACCGUGAGGCUUAACCUU